This 124-nucleotide small RNA is filed under the name Stenotrophomonas maltophilia. RNAcentral describes it as "Xoo5". It matches the Rfam family "Xanthomonadaceae sRNA Xoo5". Lineage: Bacteria; Pseudomonadati; Pseudomonadota; Gammaproteobacteria; Lysobacterales; Lysobacteraceae. The record is from RNAcentral.
CCAUGAAGCUCACCGACUUCCAGCACGACAGCAGCGCAGCCCGACAGGCGUCGGGCAUGACAUCGCGUGCGCGUCGACCGGAACCCCACAUCCUCGCUGGGUAACCGGAGCUUUUUGCUGUUCG